CGCCCAAUAGCUAGCCCAACCCCCAAAAAUAAAUAAAUCAUCAUUAAUAACCCCACAGACACUAAAGAAACAAAACAAACCAUUUUUCCCUCUGAGUAUGGGAGACAGAAAAGAGCUUCGGCGCAAUAAAGAAAGUACCGCAAGGGAAAGCUGAAAGAGAAAUGAAACAACCCAAUUUAAGCCUAUAAAAGCAGAGGUUAAUCCUCGUACCUUUUGCAUCAUGGUUUAGCUAGCAAAAUUUAAGCAAAGCGCACUUCAGUUUAAAACCCCGAAACCAAGUGAGCUACUCCAAGACAGCCUAUAAUAAGGGCACACCCUUCUCUGUGGCAACAGAGUGGGAAGAUCUUCGAGUAGAGGUGACAGACCUAACGAACUUGGUUAUAGCUGGUUGCUUGGAAAGUGGAUAAAAGUUCAGCCUUCUUGAUUCUCCUCUCACCUCGGCACUUGACCUCCGAAUUUGACAACUGAGAAGCCAGAAGAGUUAGUCAAGGGGGGUACAGCCCCUUUGAAAAAGGAUACAACCUUCCCAGGAGGAUAAAGAUCACAACAAACAAGGGCCAUUGUUUAGGUGGGCUUAAGAGCAGCCAUCCUCUUGAAAAGCGUUAUAGCUUAAAUAUUCAACCCGCCCUUAGAUUCCGACAAUUCAGUCUUAACCCCUAACUCUACCAAGCCAUCCCAUGCCUACAUGGGAGUGAUCCUGCUAAUAUGAGUAAUAAGAGGGCCUCGGCCCUCUCCCAGCACAAGUGUAUGUCGGAACGGACCUCCCGCCGAAAUUUAACGACCCCAACAGAAGAGGGCACUGGGCACUCCACAUUAAAGCCAGAAAACCCCCCAGGAACAUAUCGUUAACCCCACACUGGUGUGCUUUAAGGGAAAGGCUAAAAGAGAAAGAAGGAACUCGGCAAACACCUUAAGCCUCGCCUGUUUACCAAAAACACCGCCUCUUGCAAAAUCAACAAAUAAGAGGUCACGCCUGCCCAGUGACUUUAAGUUCAACGGCCGCGGUAUUUUGACCGUGCAAAGGUAGCGCAAUCACUUGUCUUUUAAAUGGAGACCUGUAUGAAUGGCAUCACGAGGGCUUGACUGUCUCCUUUCUUCAGCCAAUGAAAUUGAUCUCCCCGUGCAGAAGCGGGGAUUAUCUCAUAAGACGAGAAGACCCUAUGGAGCUUUAGACACUAAGACAGCCUAUGUCAAACAUCCCCAGCAAGGGCCUGAACUAAAUAGUCCCUGUCCUAAUGUCUUCGGUUGGGGCGACCCUGGGGAAAUAACCAACCCCCAUGCGGAGUGAAAACAUGUUUUCAAAGCCAAGAGCCACCGCUCUAAGAAACAGAAUUUCUGACCAGCUAGAUCCGGCAAAGCCGAUCAACGGACCGAGUUACCCUAGGGAUAACAGCGCAAUCCCCUUACAGAGCCCUUAUCGACAAGGGGGUUUACGACCUCGAUGUUGGAUCAGGACAUCCUAAUGGUGCAGCCGCUAUUAAGGGUUCGUUUGUUCAACGAUUAAAGUCCUACGUGAUCUGAGUUCAGACCGGAGUAAUCCAGGUCAGUUUCUAUCUAUGAAACGACCUUUUCUAGUACGAAAGGACCGAAAAGGAAAGGCCAAUGUUUUAGACACGCCUUACCCUCAUCUAACGAAACCAACUAAAACAGGUAAAAGGGCGUGCCCAAGGCAGCCUGAGAAAAUGGCAU
RNAcentral lists this ribosomal RNA (1689 nucleotides) under Halichoeres trimaculatus (threespot wrasse). Its description in RNAcentral is "16S ribosomal RNA". It matches the Rfam family "Bacterial large subunit ribosomal RNA". The record is from RNAcentral. Lineage: Eukaryota; Metazoa; Chordata; Actinopteri; Labriformes; Labridae.